Molecule: ribosomal RNA, 549 nt
Filed under: uncultured bacterium
Lineage: Bacteria
Description: partial 16S ribosomal RNA
Rfam family: Bacterial small subunit ribosomal RNA
Source: RNAcentral
AGGGAAUCUUCCACAAUGGACGCAAGUCUGAUGGAGCAACGCCGCGUGAGUGAAGAAGGUUUUCGGACCGUAAAGCUCUGUUGUUGGUGAAGAAGGAUAGAGGUAGUAACUGGCCUUUAUUUGACGGUAAUCAACCAGAAAGUCACGGCUAACUACGUGCCAGCAGCCGCGGUAAUACGUAGGUGGCAAGCGUUGUCCGGAUUUAUUGGGCGUAAAGCGAGCGCAGGCGGAAGAAUAAGUCUGAUGUGAAAGCCCUCGGCUUAACCGAGGAAUUGCAUCGGAAACUGUUUUCUUGAGUGCAGAAGAGGAGAGUAGAACUCCAUGUGUAGCGGUGGAAUGCGUAGAUAUAUGGAAGAAUACCAGUGGCGAAGGCGGCUCUCUGGUCUGCAACUGACGCUGAGGCUCGAAAGCAUGGGUAGCGAACAGGAUUAGAUACCCUUGGUAGUCCAUGCCGUAAACGAUGAGUGCUAAGUGUUGGGAGGCUUCCGCCUCUCAGUGCUGCAGCUAACGCAUUAAGCACUCUGCCCUGGGGGAGUACGACCGCAAGGU